This 284-nucleotide ribosomal RNA is filed under the name uncultured bacterium. RNAcentral's name for it is "partial 16S ribosomal RNA". It matches the Rfam family "Bacterial small subunit ribosomal RNA", at positions 337 to 618 of the family's 1533-position model. The record is from RNAcentral.
UCCUACGGGACGCAGCAGUGAGGAAUAUUGGUCAAUGGGAGAGAUCCUGAACCAGCCAAGCCGCGUGAGGGAAGACGGCCCUAUGGGUUGUAAACCUCUUUUGUCGGAGAACAAAACCCGGGACGAGUCCCGGACUGCGUGUAUCCGAAGAAAAAGCAUCGGCUAACUCCGUGCCAGCAGCCGCGGUAAUACGGAGGAUGCGAGCGUUAUCCGGAUUUAUUGGGUUUAAAGGGUGCGUAGGCGGUCCGUUAAGUCAGCGGUGAAAUUUAGGGGCUCAACCCCGU